This 301-nucleotide ribosomal RNA is filed under the name uncultured bacterium. Its description in RNAcentral is "partial 16S ribosomal RNA". It matches the Rfam family "Bacterial small subunit ribosomal RNA", at positions 509 to 807 of the family's 1533-position model. The record is from RNAcentral.
CAGUCGCCACGGUAAUACGUAGGGUGCGAGCGUUAAUCGGAGUUACUGGGCGUAAAGCGUGCGCAGGCGGUUCGUUAAGACAGAUGUGAAAUCCCCGGGCUUAACCUGGGAACUGCAUUUGUGACUGGCGAGCUAGAGUAUGGCAGAGGGGGGUAGAAUUCCACGUGUAGCAGUGAAAUGCGUAGAGAUGUGGAGGAAUACCAAUGGCGAAGGCGAUUCUCUGGGCAAUUCCUGACACUGAGGCACGAAGGCCAGGGGAGCAAACAGGAUUAGAUACCCCAGUAGUCCCUGUCUCUUAUAC